CUUUUGUAAGUUUGGAAAAGAUUAUUUGCUUGAUGUUUUAUUUGGGUCUUUGAUGGAUUAAGAAAAUUGUGUAAAAUCAAUGGAUCGUAGUCUUUGUUUCAUAUUUUGAUCUGGGUCUUUGAUUGAUAAAAAUUAUCUCUGAGCCUCUAUCAUGUGUUUUUCUGUUGUAGAAUGGGUAAAUUGUAGCCUUCUAUCCUUCAGUGUGCUAACAUAUUAAAGUUGCUUUAGUUCAUAUACUUGGUAAAUCUUUAUGAUUGUAAUGUUAAAAAGGGUAGUUUGUGAAGGGAUAGUAUUGGGAUUACAUAUCCCAUAUCGGGAAAAAAGAAAAAUGAAAGGUUAAAUAUAAGUAGAUGGAUUGCAAUAUUAAUUUGAUUAGUCAGAUUAAAAAUAAAUUAAUACAUAAUUUACCCAACACUCUCUCCAAAUUUAACACUUAUCACACUUUUGUAUUGAAGCAUUUGAUUCUCCAUGUUGUACAACCAUCUUAAAUGGCCCUCAUUUUAUCUUCAAUAUGUGCGACAUGCAUUCUUUGGCAAAUGUGGUCAUUCUUAAUCUUAUCUAUUAGCCUGUUUUGGACAUCCCUCUUAACAUCCUCAUUUUGGCCAGACUCGUAUUGUAAGUAUAUUGUACCUUAGAUGCCUAGCAUUCACUCCCAUUCAAUAUAGCUAAUCUGACCAUGGUCUUAUAGAAGUUGCCUUUCAAUUUGUUAGGAUCUCCUAAUCACAAAAUAUAGCCGUCACACUCCUCCAUUUCAUCUAUACUGUAUUGAUCGUAUGAUUUACAUCCUCAUCUAAAAUAUCAUUCUUUUGUAUGAUAUAACCUAGAUAUUGAAUUGAUAGCAUUUUGGCACCAAAACUCCAUU
This 862-nucleotide unclassified non-coding RNA is filed under the name Hevea brasiliensis (rubber tree). The record is from RNAcentral. Lineage: Eukaryota; Viridiplantae; Streptophyta; Magnoliopsida; Malpighiales; Euphorbiaceae.